GAUCAUGGCUCAGGACGAACGCUGGCGGCGUGCUUAACACAUGCAAGUCGAACGAGAAUCUGCGGAAAGAGGAUUCGUCCAAUUGAAGCAGAGGACAGUGGCGGACGGGUGAGUAACGCGUGAGGAACCUGCCUUUCAGAGGGGGGACAACAGUUGGAAACGACUGCUAAUACCGCAUGACACAUCGGAGUCGCAUGGCUCUGAUGUCAAAGAUUUAUCGUUGAAAGAUGG
Molecule: ribosomal RNA, 231 nt
Filed under: uncultured bacterium
Lineage: Bacteria
Description: partial 16S ribosomal RNA
Rfam family: Bacterial small subunit ribosomal RNA
Source: RNAcentral